Non-coding RNA from Podarcis lilfordi (Lilford's wall lizard), 74 nucleotides. The record is from the annotation of a GenBank genome assembly. Lineage: Eukaryota; Metazoa; Chordata; Lepidosauria; Squamata; Lacertidae.
GAGAAGGACGUAGCUCAGUGGUAGAGCUUCUGCUUUGCAUGAAGAAGGUCCCAGGUUCAGUGCUGGGUUUCUCA